RNAcentral lists this ribosomal RNA (478 nucleotides) under uncultured Planctomycetales bacterium. Its description in RNAcentral is "bacterial SSU rRNA". It matches the Rfam family "Bacterial small subunit ribosomal RNA", at positions 364 to 832 of the family's 1533-position model. The record is from RNAcentral. Lineage: Bacteria; Pseudomonadati; Planctomycetota; Planctomycetia; Planctomycetales.
UUUCGCAAUGCCCGAAAGGGUGACGAAGCGACGCCGCGUGUGGGACGAAGGCCUUCGGGUUGUAAACCACUGUCGGGAGUUAAGAAAUGCAAGGAUAUUAAUAGUGUCUUUGUUUGACUAAGGCUCCGGAGGAAGCCACGGCUAACUCUGUGCCAGCAGCCGCGGUAAUACAGAGGCGGCAAGCGUUGUUCGGAAUUAUUGGGCGUAAAGAGCACGUAGGCGGCUAUGUAAGUCGGUUGUGAAAGCCUUCCGCUCAACGGAAGAACAGCAUCCGAUACUACAUGGCUUGAGUGCGGGAGGGGAGAGUGGAACUUCUGGUGGAGCGGUGAAAUGCGUAGAUAUCAGAAGGAACGCCGGCGGCGAAAGCGGCUCUCUGGCCCAUAACUGACGCUGAGUGUGCGAAAGCUAGGGGAGCAAACGGGAUUAGAUACCCCGGUAGUCCUAGCCGUAAACGAUGGGCCCUAAGUAGAGGGGUUUU